UCCAAAGUUUUGCACGAUGCACAGCUCCAU
RNAcentral lists this non-coding RNA (30 nucleotides) under Mus musculus (house mouse). The record is from RNAcentral. Lineage: Eukaryota; Metazoa; Chordata; Mammalia; Rodentia; Muridae.